AUUAUAAUAAUAAGGUGAAUAUAAGUAUUGCCCUAACUAAUGUAAAAAAUGCCCCUGGAAAUCAAUUCACUGUAAAACAAAAAAAAUGCUUCACGCACCUUUCUCCAAAAUUCUCCACCAAAUCAUUUUCAUAACACAAAAUCAGCACAGGACUAUUUACUACUGAAUAAGAUCUAAUUUUAUAGUUUUGGGAUUUUCAUUGCACACCAGAUCUUCAGGUAUCAUUUUACCCUAGACCUUAGCCCAGCUUGGUUCCCUUUUGAUUUCAAAUACAGCUCAUGAACUUCAGUCUAUAACCCUGAGGCCAGCUUUUGCUCCAGGACACACUCUUCCACUUUCCCAAAUGCACAAGCGCUUCUGUUUAUUCCUGGCUGCUGAGAUAUUCAACACCACAUGAAGUAGAUUAAUAUCUCCUUUGAGACGCUCCAUACUUGUCUUUGCUGCUGGAGGUUAGCGUGUUAAAUAUGAAAGAGAAGUAGGCAUGUUUGAAUGAUUGAUGCAUUGCCUGUCAUUAGUGUUUAUUGAAGUGACAGCUUGCGCUGGAAUAUAUUGCAACUGGCAUGUAUCUGCAGAUAAUGUAAUCUUACCCAUUGCAGUUAAGAGCUUUAUUUUCUCUUCUAUAAGGUCAACAGAGGAGGAGACAAAAAUAAAGACGGGUCAAGUUCACAUGAGAGGAUUUAUAUGGAUGAUCAUAUAUACAGUUAUUGGAAAACUGAUAUGUGCUAAGAUGGGUUUGUCAGCUGUAACACUAAUCAGAGAGUGAGUUUCAAAACACUUUGAAACUGUAAGAGACAGUUCAGAAAGUACUUCUUCAGCCAAGAAACACAUUGUAUCAACCCAGAUGAGAAACAGCCACUGCUGUACUUGACAGCUCUCCAGACGGAGAAUAACAUUGCCAAGUUUACACAAUAGAUUGAAAGUUCCCAAGCUGCAGCAAAAAUCGCUACAACACCCACCAUGAUGUAACUUCCAUUUCCCAGCUAGCAACAGGAAUACCCCUGGAGGACUUCAAAGCGAAUAAUAAUGCCGCUUUGGAAAAAGCACCUGUUGUGUUCUGGACAUUUGGCUUUCAAUCAAUGUACUUUCCCAAUUGGAAGCCAGUCUUUUCUAUAGCACCUUCUAGGGAUGAUGGGUGGAACUCCCAAAUUAACAAGAAUUGGCAACAAAUAUCCAACGGUGAUGUGCAGAGACAGAGACCUGCUGCCUUCAUGUGCUAUUGGAAUAAUAAUGCAUUUGAUUUUCCUUGUUGGAAAUUAUACAUGAACAGCCAUUCAAAAUAAUUUUGAUAUUUGAGUUUAGAUAUUUGAGUUGAUCAAGCCAUAAACUUUAAACAUUGCAAAGAUCUGAUUACAGUAGUGACCGUAUUAUUUGUUUUUCACAGUCUGUAUAUUCACGCAUGUAGAUAUGAAUGUGAUACAUAUUAAAUGUAUUUUACACAUCUUCGUCCUAUUAUAUUACAAGGAAUGUUGUAGUUGUAUAACUCUCUAGACCACUAAUUUGUUUUUUUUUCUUUUUCCCUUAUCUGUUUUAUAUGAGGUAAUCCUGUGUUAUUUAAAGUCUGAGCUAUUUGCGUUUUUUUUUUUUUUUUUUUU
This is a long non-coding RNA of Labeo rohita (rohu), 1592 nucleotides long. RefSeq lists it as uncharacterized. The transcript is spliced from 3 exons. The record is from RefSeq and is a predicted model, not a curated record. NCBI's taxonomy places the organism in Eukaryota, Metazoa, Chordata, Actinopteri, Cypriniformes, Cyprinidae.